UCCGAAUUGGUGUAGUGGCUAACAUCGCUGUCUCUCAUUGGUAUUUUCCAAUCAGUACACAGCAGCCAGGGGUUCGAUUCCCCUAUUCGGAA
This is a non-coding RNA of Pseudovirgaria hyperparasitica, 92 nucleotides long. Lineage: Eukaryota; Fungi; Ascomycota; Dothideomycetes; Acrospermales; Acrospermaceae. The record is from the annotation of a RefSeq genome assembly.